AACAGUAGGUAUGUAAUAUUACUAAAAUUCGCGGGUAGUAGUCACAUCUCUGGUAGUUCUACGUACUUCUAACCUAAUAGAAAUCAAACCCAAAAUUUUUUCGUUUUGUAGUUUAUAAGUGUUAAUAUGAAUAGAAAGAAGACUAGCAAGUCUCAGUUUAAAAUAUAUUUAUCAUAUUUAAAGAGGCAUGAUAUAUUAAUAACAGGAAAGUUGACUCCAUCCACAAACACGGAGGGCCUAAAACAAAUUUGGAAUGAAAUGGUCGCCAAUCUUAAUAGUUGUGGGGAUGGUCCUGUGAGGAAUAUAGAGGGAUGGAAAAAGGUAUUUCGAGAAUGGAAAUGUAUUAUUAGAAAAAAAGCGAGAGAAGGAAAAGAGUUAAACGAAAUUGAGCACGAACUAAUUCGAUUAACGGGCGAAAUUGCUGUUACCGGAUUAGAUCAUGUUGAAUUGGGCAUUACUGAGGGCAUUAGCAAUGAAGGUGAAACUGCAGAAGCUUCUCCAGAUGUCGAUUUCGACAUUGAAAAUUUAGAGGUAGUGCAAGAGGAUGAAGAGCGAUUAUCUGAUGAAAAUCUACAGCCCACAUUACAUAAAGAAAAUGCAAAUGCUGCUCUGCCGUCUACCUCUCAAAAAAAACGUAAAAAAUGUACGGAAAAUCCCUUACUGAAAGCCUAUGUGAAUGCGCAAGAUGAAGCAAGAGAUGGCAUGACAGAUAUUGCAAAUGCUUUAAAUAAUAUAGCAGCAUCAAUAAACAGAUUUUGUGAUGUGUAUGAAAGAGUAAAUCUUGAUAUGUAAAUUUAUUAUGUACUUACAUUUAAGGGUUGUGUAAUACAUUUUUUUUUGAGGAAAUAUUAAAAGGACUACCAAAGAACAAUAUAAAGUUUAUUUAACUUAUCUUCAAAAAAAUAAACAUACUUUACAAAUACCUAAAGAAGAUUUCCAAGUGAUGUGUCUGGAACUGAACUCCAUUGAUGGACCAAAAAAGACUAUUCAUGAAUGGCAGCAGACAUUUUAUGAAUGGAGUAGUCGAACAAAAAAAAGCUCGAGAUAAUUUAAGAUACAUGAUGGAGACUGGAGGAGGACCUGGACUUGACAAUUAUUUAAAUGACAUCGAAGAAUUACUGAUAAGCAUACUGAAGUGGGUUACAAUCAAUGGCAUGAAUGUAAGUGAACUAGGCGUUUAUAAGUCUAAGACUGUGUGUAGCAAAGUAAGGAAAGAGAUGCAUCAAAAGAAAAUGACUAUUUCUGUGGCACCAAAUACAAGAAAACGACCUAGACUUCUUCAGAAGCGUAUUAUGCAUACUUUUGAUCUUAAACAAAAGUUGUAUUUGCAAUCCAUCAAGGAAUUAAGAACUGCCAUUAUAAAUUUGUUUACUUCCAUUGAUAGACUGCAACUGGUGGGCUGUAAUGCAAAACUCGGUGUUUAAGGAGACACCGAAAUCUUGUUUUAAGAACUCCGUUCAACCUUUCGAUCACAUUUCUUACACUUCUAUGUGCAAUAUUAUAAGCACG
Photinus pyralis (common eastern firefly) is the source of this 1509-nucleotide RNA transcript. RefSeq lists it as uncharacterized. The transcript has 7 exons. Lineage: Eukaryota; Metazoa; Arthropoda; Insecta; Coleoptera; Lampyridae. The record is from RefSeq and is a predicted model, not a curated record.